AACGAACGCUGGCGGCAGGCCUAACACAUGCAAGUCGAACGCUCCGCAAGGAGAGUGGCAGACGGGUGAGUAACACGUGGGAAUCUACCUAGUGGUACGGAAUAGCUCAGGGAAACUUGAGGUAAUACCGUAUAAGCCCUUACGGGGAAAGAUUUAUCGCCAUUAGAUGAGCCCGCGUCUGAUUAGCUAGUUGGUGAGGUAAUGGCUCACCAAGGCGACGAUCAGUAGCUGGUUUGAGAGAAUGACCAGCCACACUGGGACUGAGACACGGCCCAGACUCCUACGGGAGGCAGCAGUGGGGAAUCUUGGACAAUGGGCGCAAGCCUGAUCCAGCCAUGCCGCGUGAGUGACGAAGGCCUUAGGGUUGUAAACUGCUUUUGUACGGAACGAAAAGGCUCUUUCUAAUAAAGGGAGUUGAUGACGGUACCGUAAGAAUAAGCACCGGCUAACUACGUG
This 456-nucleotide ribosomal RNA is filed under the name uncultured bacterium. RNAcentral's name for it is "bacterial SSU rRNA". It matches the Rfam family "Bacterial small subunit ribosomal RNA", at positions 29 to 507 of the family's 1533-position model. The record is from RNAcentral.